This 73-nucleotide transfer RNA is filed under the name Eutypa lata UCREL1. RNAcentral describes it as "tRNA-Gly (CCC) (tRNA-Gly-CCC-3-1)". It matches the Rfam family "tRNA". From Rfam's summary of the family: Transfer RNA (tRNA) molecules are approximately 80 nucleotides in length. The record is from RNAcentral. Lineage: Eukaryota; Fungi; Ascomycota; Sordariomycetes; Xylariales; Diatrypaceae.
GCCAGGUUAGUGUAGUGGUAACACGUCUUCGCCCCAAGGCAAGAAGACCCAGGUUCGAUUCCUGGACCAGGCA